Molecule: ribosomal RNA, 445 nt
Filed under: uncultured bacterium
Lineage: Bacteria
Description: partial 16S ribosomal RNA
Rfam family: Bacterial small subunit ribosomal RNA
Source: RNAcentral
GUGAGGAAUAUUGGUCAAUGGGCGCAAGCCUGAACCAGCCAUGCCGCGUGCAGGAAGACGGUCCUAUGGAUUGUAAACUGCUUUUAUUUGGGAAUAAACUCCGGUACGUGUACCGGCCUGAAGGUACCAAAUGAAUAAGCACCGGCUAACUCCGUGCCAGCAGCCGCGGUAAUACGGAGGGUGCAAGCGUUAUCCGGAAUCAUUGGGUUUAAAGGGUCCGCAGGCGGUCUUAUAAGUCUGUGGUGAAAGCCUACAGCUCAACUGUAGAACUGCCAUUGAUACUGUAGGACUUGAAUUCGAUCGAAGUGGGCGGAAUGUGACAUGUAGCGGUGAAAUGCUUAGAUAUGUCACAGAACACCGAUAGCGAAGGCAGCUCACUAGGUCUGGAUUGACGCUCAGGGACGAAAGCGUGGGGAGCAAACAGGAUUAGAAACCCUGGUAGUCC